AGAGUUUGAUCCUGGCUCAGGAUGAACGCUGGCGGCGUGCCUAAUACAUGCAAGUCGAACGAGUUCUCGUUGAUGAUCGGUGCUUGCACCGAGAUUCAACAUAGAACGAGUGGCGGACGGGUGAGUAACACGUGGGUAACCUGCCCUUAAGUGGGGGAUAACAUUUGGAAACAGAUGCUAAUACCGCAUAGAUCCAAGAACCGCAUGGUUCUUGGCUGAAAGAUGGCGUAAGCUAUCGCUUUUGGAUGGACCCGCGGCGUAUUAGCUAGUUGGUGAGGUAACGGCUCACCAAGGCGAUGAUACGUAGCCGAACUGAGAGGUUGAUCGGCCACAUUGGGACUGAGACACGGCCCAAACUCCUACGGGAGGCAGCAGUAGGGAAUCUUCCACAAUGGACGCAAGUCUGAUGGAGCAACGCCGCGUGAGUGAAGAAGGCUUUCGGGUCGUAAAACUCUGUUGUUGGAGAAGAAUGGUCGGCAGAGUAACUGUUGCCGGCGUGACGGUAUCCAACCAGAAAGCCACGGCUAACUACGUGCCAGCAGCCGCGGUAAUACGUAGGUGGCAAGCGUUAUCCGGAUUUAUUGGGCGUAAAGCGAGCGCAGGCGGUUUUUUAAGUCUGAUGUGAAAGCCCUCGGCUUAACCGAGGAAGCGCAUCGGAAACUGGGAAACUUGAGUGCAGAAGAGGACAGUGGAACUCCAUGUGUAGCGGUGAAAUGCGUAGAUAUAUGGAAGAACGCCAGUGGCGAAGGCGGCUGUCUGGUCUGUAACUGACGCUGAGGCUCGAAAGCAUGGGUAGCGAACAGGAUUAGAUACCCUGGUAGUCCAUGCCGUAAACGAUGAAUGCUAGGUGUUGGAGGGUUUCCGCCCUUCAGUGCCGCAGCUAACGCAUUAAGCAUUCCGCCUGGGGAGUACGACCGCAAGGUUGAAACUCAAAGGAAUUGACGGGGGCCCGCACAAGCGGUGGAGCAUGUGGUUUAA
RNAcentral lists this ribosomal RNA (978 nucleotides) under Lacticaseibacillus paracasei. RNAcentral's name for it is "bacterial SSU rRNA". It matches the Rfam family "Bacterial small subunit ribosomal RNA", at positions 8 to 949 of the family's 1533-position model. The record is from RNAcentral. Lineage: Bacteria; Bacillati; Bacillota; Bacilli; Lactobacillales; Lactobacillaceae.